UACGGAGGAUGCAAGCGUUAUCCGGAAUUAUUGGGCGUAAAGCGUCCGCAGGUGGUACAUCAAGUCUGCUGUCAAAGACCGGAGCUCAACUCCGGGCAGGCAGUGGAAACUGGUGAACUAGAGUACGGUAGGGGUAGAGGGAAUUCCCAGUGUAGCGGUGAAAUGCGUAGAGAUUGGGAAGAACACCAGUGGCGAAGGCGCUCUACUGGGCCGUAACUGACACUCAGGGACGAAAGCUAGGGGCGCGAAAUGG
This 253-nucleotide ribosomal RNA is filed under the name uncultured bacterium. RNAcentral describes it as "partial 16S ribosomal RNA". It matches the Rfam family "Bacterial small subunit ribosomal RNA", at positions 524 to 776 of the family's 1533-position model. The record is from RNAcentral.